CCUACGGGUGGCAGCAGUGGGGAAUAUUGGUCAAUGGAGGAAACUCUGACCCAGCAACGCCGCGUGAAUGAUGAAGGUCUUCGGAUUGUAAAGUUCUUUUCUUAGGGAAGAAGAAAGUGACGCUACCUGAGUAAUAAGCCUCGGCUAACGACGUGCCAGCAGCCGCUGUAAUACGUAGGCGGCGGGCGUUAUCCGGAAUGACUGGGCGUAAAGGGUGCGUAGGUGGAUUGGUAAGUUAGUAGCGUAAUUCCAAGUCUGAACCUUGGAACUGCUUCUAAAAUUGUUGGACUUGAGUGCGGGAGAGGCAGGCGGAAUUCGUGGUGUAGCGGUGAAAUGCGUAGAUAUUAAGAGGAACACUCGUGGCGAAGGCGGGUUGCUAGACUGUAACUGACGCUGAGGCGCGAAAGCGUGGGGAGCAAACAGGAUUAGAUACCCUAGUAGUC
Molecule: ribosomal RNA, 443 nt
Filed under: uncultured bacterium
Lineage: Bacteria
Description: partial 16S ribosomal RNA
Rfam family: Bacterial small subunit ribosomal RNA
Source: RNAcentral